GACGAACGCUGGCGGCGCGCCUAACACAUGCAAGUCGAACGGAGUUAAGAGGAGCUUGCUUUUCUUGACUUAGUGGCGAACGGGUGAGUAACGCGUGAGUAACCUGCCCUGGAGUGGGGGACAACAGUUGGAAACGACUGCUAAUACCGCAUAAGCCCACGGAUCCGCAUGGAUCUGCGGGAAAAGGAUUUAUUCGCUUCAGGAUGGACUCGCGUCCAAUUAGCUAGUUGGUGAGGUAACGGCCCACCAAGGCGACGAUUGGUAGCCGGACUGAGAGGUUGAACGGCCACAUUGGGACUGAGACACGGCCCAGACUCCUACGGGAGGCAGCAGUGGGGGAUAUUGCACAAUGGGGGAAACCCUGAUGCAGCGACGCCGCGUGGAGGAAGAAGGUUUUCGGAUUGUAAACUCCUGUCGUUAGGGACGAUAAUGACGGUACCUAACAAGAAAGCACCGGCUAACUACGUG
RNAcentral lists this ribosomal RNA (468 nucleotides) under uncultured bacterium. RNAcentral describes it as "partial 16S ribosomal RNA". It matches the Rfam family "Bacterial small subunit ribosomal RNA", at positions 28 to 507 of the family's 1533-position model. The record is from RNAcentral.